GACGAACGCUGGCGGCGUGCUUAACACAUGCAAGUCGAACGGAAAGGCCCUGCUUUUGUGGGGUGCUCGAGUGGCGAACGGGUGAGUAACACGUGAGUAACCUGCCCUUGACUUUGGGAUAACUUCAGGAAACUGGGGCUAAUACCGGAUAGGAGCUCCUGCUGCAUGGUGGGGGUUGGAAAGUUUCGGCGGUUGGGGAAGGACUCGCGGCUUAUCAGCUUGUUGGUGGGGUAGUGGCUUACCAAGGCCUUGACGGGUAGCCGGCCUGAGAGGGUGACCGGCCACAUUGGGACUGAGAUACGGCCCAGACUCCUACGGGAGGCAGCAGUGGGGAAUAUUGCACAAUGGGCGGAAGCCUGAUGCAGCAACGCCGCGUGCGGGAUGACGGCCUUCGGGUUGUAAACCGCUUUCGCCUGUGACGAAGCGUGAGUGACGGUAAUGGGUAAAGAAGCACCGGCUAACUACGUG
Molecule: ribosomal RNA, 468 nt
Filed under: uncultured bacterium
Lineage: Bacteria
Description: partial 16S ribosomal RNA
Rfam family: Bacterial small subunit ribosomal RNA
Source: RNAcentral